UCCAUUUCCCAUGCUCUCUCGC
Molecule: microRNA, 22 nt
Filed under: Pristionchus pacificus
Lineage: Eukaryota; Metazoa; Nematoda; Chromadorea; Rhabditida; Neodiplogasteridae
Description: ppc-miR-8364p-5p
Source: miRBase by way of RNAcentral